AGGGUGAGUCGACCCCUAAGGCGAGGCCGAAAGGCGUAGUCGAUGGGAAACGGGUUAAUAUUCCCGUACUUGGUGUUACUGCGAAGGGGGGACGGAGAAGGCUAUGUUGGCCGGGCGACGGUUGUCCCGGUUUAAGCGUGUAGGUGUGUGUUCCAGGUAAAUCCGGUUCACUUUAACACUGAGGCGUGAUGACGAGGCACUACGGUGCUGAAGCAACAAAUGCCCUGCUUCCAGGAAAAGCCUCUAAGCAUCAGGUAACAUCAAAUCGUACCCCAAACCGACACAGGUGGUCAGGUAGAGAAUACCAAGGCGCUUGAGAGAACUCGGGUGAAGGAACUAGGCAAAAUGGUGCCGUAACUUCGGGAGAAGGCACGCUGACACGUAGGUGAAGUGAUUUACUCAUGGAGCUGAAGUCAGUCGAAGAUACCAGCUGGCUGCAACUGUUUAUUAAAAACACAGCACUGUGCAAACACGAAAGUGGACGUAUACGGUGUGACGCCUGCCCGGUGCCGGAAGGUUAAUUGAUGGGGUCAGCGCAAGCGAAGCUCCUGAUCGAAGCCCCGGUAAACGGCGGCCGUAACUAUAACGGUCCUAAGGUAGCGAAAUUCCUUGUCGGGUAAGUUCCGACCUGCACGAAUGGCGUAAUGAUGGCCAGGCUGUCUCCACCCGAGACUCAGUGAAAUUGAACUCGCUGUGAAGAUGCAGUGUACCCGCGGCAAGACGGAAAGACCCCGUGAACCUUUACUAUAGCUUGACACUGAACAUUGAGCCUUGAUGUGUAGGAUAGGUGGGAGGCUUUGAAGUGUGGACGCCAGUCUGCAUGGAGCCGGCCUUGAAAUACCACCCUUUAAUGUUUGAUGUUCUAACGUGGACCCGUGAUCCGGGUUGCGGACAGUGUCUGGUGGGUAGUUUGACUGGGGCGGUCUCCUCCUAAAGAGUAACGGAGGAGCACGAAGGUUGGCUAAUCCUGGUCGGACAUCAGGAGGUUAGUGCAAUGGCAUAAGCCAGCUUGACUGCGAGCGUGACGGCGCGAGCAGGUGCGAAAGCAGGUCAUAGUGAUCCGGUGGUUCUGAAUGGAAGGGCCAUCGCUCAACGGAUAAAAGGUACUCCGGGGAUAACAGGCUGAUACCGCCCAAGAGUUCAUAUCGACGGCGGUGUUUGGCACCUCGAUGUCGGCUCAUCACAUCCUGGGGCUGAAGUAGGUCCCAAGGGUAUGGCUGUUCGCCAUUUAAAGUGGUACGCGAGCUGGGUUUAGAACGUCGUGAGACAGUUCGGUCCCUAUCUGCCGUGGGCGCUGGAGAACUGAGGGGGGCUGCUCCUAGUACGAGAGGACCGGAGUGGACGCAUCACUGGUGUUCGGGUUGUCAUGCCAAUGGCACUGCCCGGUAGCUAAAUGCGGAAGAGAUAAGUGCUGAAAGCAUCUAAGCACGAAACUUGCCCCGA
This 1443-nucleotide ribosomal RNA is filed under the name Salmonella enterica. Its description in RNAcentral is "partial 23S ribosomal RNA". It matches the Rfam family "Bacterial large subunit ribosomal RNA", at positions 1376 to 2802 of the family's 2925-position model. The record is from RNAcentral. Lineage: Bacteria; Pseudomonadati; Pseudomonadota; Gammaproteobacteria; Enterobacterales; Enterobacteriaceae.